AUUCGCCGGCCUGUCGUUAUUCGUUUCUUCCUUUGUGUGCGUGGGCCCGUUACGACUUCUCCGCCGUACGUAGCAGGAGUACCUUCUCUUACACGCACACACACACACCUUCACCGCCACCACCACCACACUCGCUCGAGUCAUCGCCAUGGCCGAGGAGGAUAUUGCGGACUUCACCCUCGAUGACGAGAAGGUCAUCGACACAGACCAGGGGCUCGCCAAGCAGGACUUCAGCAAGAUCGACCUCGAUGAGCUCGACGUCGACACCUUCGAGGUCAUGUCGCGCCAGGCCACCAUCAACGUCGGCACCAUCGGCCACGUCGCACACGGUAAGUCCACCGUGGUCAAAGCGCUCAGCGGUGUCAAGACGCAGAAGUUCCACCGCGAGGCUGUCAUGAACAUCACCAUCCACCUCGGCUACGCCAACGCCAAGGUGUACCAGUGCGAGACCUGCCCACGCCCCACCUGCUACCAGACCUACCCGUCCUCGCAGCCGGACAGCACGCCGUGCCCCAACUGCGGAGAGACCAUGACGCUGAAGCGCCACUUCUCCUUUGUCGACUGCCCCGGCCACGACGUGCUGAUGGCAACCAUGCUGAACGGCGCCGCCAUCAUGGACGCCGCGCUGCUGCUCAUCGCCGCCAACGAGUCGUUCCCGCAGCCGCAGACGCUGGAGCACCUCGCCGCGGCGGAAAUGAUCGGCGUCUCGUCGCUCAUCGUGCUACAGAACAAGGUGGACCUUGUUAGCAAGGAGCGCGCGGCGGCGCAGCACAGCAUUAUUCACCACUACCUCGCCACCAAGACAGCCUACGCCAAGGCGCCGGUGAUUCCGAUUUGCGCACAGCAGCACGUGAACAUCAGCUUCUUGCUGGACUACCUCGUGCACAUCCCUCUGCCACGGCGGCAGCUGCACCACGCGCAGUACAUGAACGUGCUACGUUCCUUCGAUGUGUCGCUGCCUGGCCCGGCUGGCGACGGUGCGAAGGCGCUCAAGGGCGGUGUCGUCGGUGGCACUGUCGCGGCCGGUGUCUUGUGCGUCGGAGACGAAAUCGAAAUCAUCCCUGGGCUGCUGGUGCUCCGGCGGCGCGACGGUGUGCUGCCGCGACGGGCGGAUGUCUUGUCGGGCCGAGAGUUGGCCUACGUCGCCUCCCCGCCGCCUGGCGAGCUGUACGCCGUCCCACUGCGCACCACCGUUGUGCGACUCCAGGCGGAGAAGAACGAGCUGCAGUUCGCCGUGCCAGGCGGCCUCAUUGCGAUUGGCACGACGCUCGACCCAUCCCUGACACGUCAAAACAAGUUACGAGGGCAGGUGGUGCGGGUGGUGAGUCGCGGUCCCGUCUGGCGGUCGCGUGGAACGAGGUGCAGUCCACGGAGGUGCGACAGUCCGCCAGCGGUGGCAGAAGCUGCCUCCGCAUCAACGACGCCGGUGACCACCACCACAGGCGACGCAAUACCGACGCCAUCCGGCGCCGUCCUCCCCUGCCAAUCUCCUGCUCCGGCUCCAGUCGCAGUGGAGUGUCACACAGGCAUGCAGGUGUACCAAGAAGUCGUCAUUCAGUUCUUCCUCCUGCGCGAAAUUCUCGGCCUCGCAGCACCGCGUCCUGGACGCGCCAAGCCACACCGCGACAGGGAUCGCGGCUUCAACGGUGGUGCCGACUCAUAUCGGGUCCACCCAGACCGCGUGGUCUCCUCUCUGCACCGCCGCGUCGUGCCGCUGCGAGAGGACGAGAGCAUCAUCCUGAGCGUUGGGACGCUGACGACGGCAGCGACGGUGCUGCGGACGUCGCGGCAUGCUGGGCGGGCCAUCUGCCGGCUGGAGAGCCCCCUCUCCGCCGAUCCUCCACACCAGCGCAUUGUGCUAGCCCGGUACGUAGAUCGCAAGGUUCGCGUGAUUGGGUGGGGCACGAUACUCAAAGGCGUGCCCGUGAAGCUCCUGCCGGAGGACUCGCAGUGACGGUGUCAUUGAAGGAGGACAUAUGCGGAGAGACGUCGUGUGGGAUGCUGACGGCAAGCUCUGCGUUCGGGCCGCCGCCGCCGUGGCAGGAAGAAGAGGAAUGGAGGGAGGUCGACGCUGCAGCGGCAACGUGGCAAACCGCGCGUGCAGAGUAGCUGAAGGGGUAGCAUUCGUUGCAUGUCUCUGUGUCGUUGCCCUGCUGCACGAGGUUCCUCUGGCUGCUCCACGGUGCUCGCUCUCUCCCGUCUUAUACUUCCGCACCUCUCUUGUUCGAGCGCUUUUCUCACCAUUACGACGACGACGCGCGAUGGGCAAGAGAAAAACUCUCGAAGACACUCGCGUUCUCCGCGCACCUCUCUCCUGCGCAGUCGCACGCACAUAUGCGAUCUGACUGCGCGGGCUUGCGUCUGUUUCCAUCUCAUCUGUUUCUCUGUGUCGUGGCCCCGCUUCCUCCCCGCCCUCCCCUCCCCCUUUUGCCUCUCCCCGUUGCGCUGCGCGGACGAGAUCACGCGCUGGUUUUG
RNAcentral lists this unclassified non-coding RNA (2475 nucleotides) under Leishmania donovani. RNAcentral's name for it is "gene:LdHU3.09.1380(CDS-product:translation_initia tion_factor_EIF-2B_gamma_subunit_putative)". Lineage: Eukaryota; Euglenozoa; Kinetoplastea; Trypanosomatida; Trypanosomatidae. The record is from RNAcentral.